This 333-nucleotide ribosomal RNA is filed under the name Glomus sp. RNAcentral describes it as "SSU rRNA". It matches the Rfam family "Eukaryotic small subunit ribosomal RNA", at positions 548 to 886 of the family's 1831-position model. The record is from RNAcentral. Lineage: Eukaryota; Fungi; Glomeromycota; Glomeromycetes; Glomerales; Glomeraceae.
UUGGAGGGCAAGUCUGGUGCCAGCAGCCGCAGUAAUUCCAGCUCCAAUAGCGUAUAUUAAAGUUGUUGCAGUUAAAAAGCUCGUAGCUGAAUUUCGAGAUCAAUUUGUUGGUCGUGCCUCGGUACGUACUGGCAAUUUUGAUUUCUUCCUUCUGAAGAACCAUGAUGUCAUUAAUUUGGUGUCAUGGGGAAUCAGGACUGUUAUUUUGAAAAAAUUAGAGUGUUUAAAGCAGGCUCGCACUUGAAUGCAUUAGCAUGGAAUAAUGAAAUAGGACGUUUGAUUCUAUUUUGUUGGUUUCUAGAAUCGAUAUAAUGAUUAAUAGGGAUAGUUGGG